RNAcentral lists this long non-coding RNA (705 nucleotides) under Physcomitrium patens. RNAcentral describes it as "long non-coding RNA (PPAT_LNC000486)". The record is from RNAcentral. Lineage: Eukaryota; Viridiplantae; Streptophyta; Bryopsida; Funariales; Funariaceae.
AAAAUCAAUGGUUCAUUCAUUAAUUAUUGAUGUUUAAAUCUGUUAUAAAAAUUACUAGGAUUUGAUUAGGAUUUGAUUUACGGUUUAGGAUUUGAUUAGGGUUUGAUUUAGGAUUAGGAUUUGAUUAGGAUUUAGCUUAGGAUUUAAGAUUUACUUAGGAUUUGGUUUAGGAUUUAGGGUUUGGUUAGGAUUUGAUUUAGGAUUAGGAUUUGAUUAGGAUUUGGUUUAGAGUUUAAGAUUUGGAUAGGAUUUGAUUUAGGAUUUAAGAUUUGAUUAAGAUUUGAUUUAGGAUUUGUUUAGGAUUUAAGAUUUAAUUAGUUUUUGGCCUAAAGUUUGAAUGAAGUUCAAUAGGAUUUUAACUAAGAUUAAAUUAAGAUUGAAUUAAGAUGUAUUUGAGAUAUAUUUGUGAUCAUUUUAAUAUUUCUUUAAGAUUUUUUACUAUUUCUUUGUAAUUCCUUUGAGGUUUCUUUGGAUUUGAUUAAAGCUUGCUUAGCAUUUUUAUGGUCUAAUUAGAAUUUAAUUAGUAUUCUAUUAGAGUUAAGAUUUUAUUGUUGCAAUUUCCAUUCUACCUUCUACAACCAAGUGCUCGAAGCAUUCUCAAGCAAGACUUCACGUAUUAUGACAAUGGUUCCUAUUAUAGGUGGACAAACUUGUUUUCUUUUUUAAUAUAUUAUCUUCUUUGAUAUUUGUACUCUUCAUUUUAUA